Molecule: unclassified non-coding RNA, 204 nt
Filed under: Hevea brasiliensis (rubber tree)
Lineage: Eukaryota; Viridiplantae; Streptophyta; Magnoliopsida; Malpighiales; Euphorbiaceae
Source: RNAcentral
AAUUUAUAGGACAAUGAUCUGCUUUCCUUGGAGCCCCACCUUGUGGUCAGGGGGUUCGGAAACCCAUGCAGCAGAAAAUUAUACUAUUAACACCGGGUUAAAGUAAUUUUGAUGUAUGUAUAGUAGAUAUCGACCCCCCCUUCAACUAGUUCGUGUGUCUACUUCUUCAGAUUCCUAAGGAAUGACUUCUUUCUAUAAGUGGAA